UUCACAUUUCAUUUUGUCCCUCUUUUGACAUCCUUUCUUUAAGGAUUCUAUGUCCCUCAUUUCUUUGAUAUUAGCGUAACACUUAUUCCGCUGCAAGUUGUCCCUUGGCAGAGGUCGCCAUGGCCAGCUGUCCUAGACCAGGGGGGUCAAACUCUCCAGGCCCAGGCCCAGAUCUGGCCCGCAAGGACUGGCCUCCGGUGCCUCUGCCAGCAGAAAUGGAGGCUGGGAGGGAGGGCCGUGUGUGGCCCCCCAAGCUCCAUGUUCACUGGCAGAGGGUUGCAGGAGGCCAUUGCAGCCGAAAACAUCGUAAAGCUCCCCAGUUCCUGCUUCUAAAACUGCCGGCGGUGUGGGGGUCAGUCCCUUCACCUCUCCCCUUUUAUACGUGGAGAUUAGAUUCAGUGGAUUAGAAACCACAUUGUGGGGCUGGGGCUCCUAUUUAGGCCACCUUUGCUUGGUGUUUCCCCUCUGCAACUAUUCCAGGGAGGAUGUGUGAACAGUUGCUUCUCUUUCCAAGGAGUGCAUGGACAGCAGGAAUCCCAAAAUCUUUAGGAGUGCAAGCUUAGAAGCACAACAUCCCUUCCUCCUUUCCCCUUCCCCUUCCCCUAGACGGGUGACAAAAGAACUACUUUCUGGUGUAAACCGUCUCAAAAGCAGCGCUGGCUCAGUCUCUUCCUGUCUGCAAACUCUGCACUGCUGCUGCCGCCGCUGCUGCUGGGGCUGCCCGCCCUGUUCUGGUGGUGCUGCGUCCAAGUGCUUGUGGCUCAAGAGAAAGGAAUUUGAAACUCGGAGCCUUAACGGCAGAGCUGCCGGAGGGGUGGAGAUGGGAAGGCAAAUGUCCCUUUGGGAUGGAGUUUUCCUGUCCCCCACCGUGCUUGUCCUGAGCCACCUCUUUGGGAUCGCUGUGAUCUUGUACUGGACCAGGAGCCGGAGCCGGAGCCAGGAAGCUCCCCCCUCCCAAAAGGUCAGAAGAUGUCAUGAGAGAACAGGAUGACCUCAGAAAUGGGAAGCACCAUUUGGGGCUUGUAAAAUCCAUGGAUGAGAUCAGGAAGCUGCACAUAAAGAAACUUUGCCUGAAAGCAACCUCUUAGAGACUAGAAAGCUGUGCAGUUUAAAACUCUAAUUCUG
This 1125-nucleotide long non-coding RNA is filed under the name Naja naja (Indian cobra). RNAcentral describes it as "lncRNA (ENSNNAG00000017163.1)". The record is from RNAcentral. Lineage: Eukaryota; Metazoa; Chordata; Lepidosauria; Squamata; Elapidae.